RNAcentral lists this ribosomal RNA (793 nucleotides) under uncultured archaeon. Its description in RNAcentral is "bacterial SSU rRNA". It matches the Rfam family "Archaeal small subunit ribosomal RNA", at positions 85 to 879 of the family's 1478-position model. The record is from RNAcentral.
ACUGCUCAGUAACACGUAGUCAAUCUACCCUAUGGACGGGAAUAACCUCGGGAAACUGAGAAUAAUGCCCGAUAGAACAUUAUGCCUGGAAUGGUUUAUGUUUCAAAUGAUUUAUCGCCAUAGGAUGGGACUGCGGCCUAUCAGUUUGUUGGUGAGGUAAUGGCCCACCAAGACUAUUACAGGUACGGGCUCUGAGAGGAGUAGCCCGGAGAUGGGUACUGAGACACGGACCCAGGCCCUAUGGGGCGCAGCAGGCGAGAAAACUUUGCAAUGUGCGAAAGCACGACAAGGUUAAUCCGAGUGGUUUCUGCUAAAGAAACCUUUUGUCAGUCCUAGAAACACUAACGAAUAAGGGGUGGGCAAGUUCUGGUGUCAGCCGCCGCGGUAAAACCAGCACCUCAAGUGGUCAGGAUGAUUAUUGGGCCUAAAGCAUCCGUAGCCCGUUUUGUAAGUUUUCGGUUAAAUCCAUGCGCUUAACGUAUGGGCUGCCGGGAAUACUGCAUAACUAGGAAGUGGGAGAGGUAGACGGUACUCGGUAGGAAGGGGUAAAAUCCUUUGAUCUAUUGAUGACCACCUGUGGCGAAGGCGGUCUACCAGAACACGUUCGACGGUGAGGGAUGAAAGCUGGGGGAGCAAACCGGAUUAGAUACCCGGGUAGUCCCAGCUGUAAACUAUGCAAACUCAGUCAUGCAUUGGCUUAUGGCCAAUGCAGUGCUGCAGGGAAGCCGUUAAGUUUGCCGCCUGGGAAGUACGUACGCAAGUAUGAAACUUAAAGGAAUUGGCGGGGGAGCAC